This 466-nucleotide ribosomal RNA is filed under the name uncultured bacterium. RNAcentral's name for it is "partial 16S ribosomal RNA". It matches the Rfam family "Bacterial small subunit ribosomal RNA", at positions 28 to 507 of the family's 1533-position model. The record is from RNAcentral.
GAUGAACGCUGGCGGCGUGCUUAACACAUGCAAGUCGAACGAUGAAGCCCAGCUUGCUUGGUGGUUUAGUGGCGAACGGGUGAGUAACACGUGAGUAACCUGCCCUUAACUCUGGCAUAAGCCAUGGAAACUGGGUCCAAUACCUGAUAGGAGCUUCUACCGCAUGGUGGGUGCUGGAAAGAUUUAUCGGUUUUGGAUGGACUUGCGGCCUAUCAGCUUGUUGGGGGGGUAAUGGCUCAUGAAGGCGACGACGGGUAGCCGGCCUGAGAGGGGGACCGGCCACACUAGGACUGAGACACGGCGCAGACGCCUACGGGAGGCAGCGGUGGAGAGUAUUACACAGUGGGCGCGAGCCUGAUGCAGCGACGCCGCGUGAGGGAUGACGGCCUGCGGGUUGUGAACCUCAGUCAGUAGAGAAGAAGCGAAAGUGACGGUACCUGCAGAAGAAGCACCGGCUAACUACGUG